Molecule: ribosomal RNA, 463 nt
Filed under: uncultured bacterium
Lineage: Bacteria
Description: partial 16S ribosomal RNA
Rfam family: Bacterial small subunit ribosomal RNA
Source: RNAcentral
GACGAACGCUGGCGGCGUGCUUAACACAUGCAAGUCGAACGGUGAACCUCUUCGGAGGGGAUCAGUGGCGAACGGGUGAGUAACACGUGGGCAACCUGCCCCCGGCUCUGGGAUAACUCCAAGAAAUUGGGGCUAAUACCGGAUGUUCACCGCUUCCCGCAUGGGUGGUGGUGGAAAGGGUUUCCGGCUGGGGAUGGGCCCGCGGCCUAUCAGCUUGUUGGUGGGGUAGUGGCCUACCAAGGCGACGACGGGUAGCCGGCCUGAGAGGGUGACCGGCCACACUGGGACUGAGACACGGCCCAGACUCCUACGGGAGGCAGCAGUGGGGAAUAUUGCGCAAUGGGCGGAAGCCUGACGCAGCGACGCCGCGUGGGGGGUGACGGCCUUCGGGUUGUAAACCUCUUUCAGCAGGGACGAAGCGCAAGUGACGGUACCUGCAGAAGAAGCACCGGCCAACUACGUG